Molecule: non-coding RNA, 165 nt
Organism: Betaproteobacteria bacterium
Lineage: Bacteria; Pseudomonadati; Pseudomonadota; Betaproteobacteria
Source: Rfam
AAUUCCGCGAGGACUUGUCCGAAGGAAGCCCGAGCGCAAAGGUGCGAGCCGACGAACAGAAAUUGCAUAGAAGGCCCAGUCCCCGGGCGAGUCAGCACUUGAUGACGAAGCCCACGGAUACCAGGACAGGGUAAAUGCAGCGGUUGUGCACCGAGAGAUCAUGAA